GGGGUUUCCUUGAACCCGCUGGGUACGAGGCCGAGGAAACACUAAUAACCCCUACACAAGCCUAGUAUGGGCGGGUUACGCACAUACUGUCGGCACACUCACAACACAAACUCAAUCUAGAACCUAACGUAACGAUAAAGUUCCAGAUCCUAACUAGACACUCUACUCUACAACACAAACCAACAGUACCAGUAGUCCGGCCUAUAUGGCCUAAGACCCUUAGUACUAACUACUAAACAAUAAUAUCAAUACUAAACAAUACAAUCAAACCGUUACCCAGAUAGUCCAGCCUCCCGCUGAGAAACUAUCUUUAAAGAUAAUGGGAACCUGCACUCAACCAUAUCAAC
This 347-nucleotide long non-coding RNA is filed under the name Brassica napus (rape). RNAcentral's name for it is "long non-coding RNA (BNAP_LNC019416)". Lineage: Eukaryota; Viridiplantae; Streptophyta; Magnoliopsida; Brassicales; Brassicaceae. The record is from RNAcentral.